Molecule: transfer RNA, 74 nt
Filed under: Cordylochernes scorpioides
Lineage: Eukaryota; Metazoa; Arthropoda; Arachnida; Pseudoscorpiones; Chernetidae
Description: tRNA-Thr
Rfam family: tRNA
About the family: Transfer RNA (tRNA) molecules are approximately 80 nucleotides in length.
Source: RNAcentral
UCCAGGGUAGCCCUAGUGGACAUGGCAUCUGCCCGGUAAGCGGAACAUUGUGGGUUCGAUUCCCAUCCCUGGAC